GAGCGGGGAGAGCCGCCGUCCCGCGCACCGCCCCGGUUCCGGUUGGGAGGAGGCGGUGCCCGGCCCGGCGGGCAGCGCUCCUGGGGAGCUGCGAGGCGGGCUCCGGUCACCUCCGUCGGUCGGGGCUGUGUGUGAGGGGCUGGAGUCCGCCAGAGGCGUUCUAACGCGCGUGGUGCUGAAGGUCACGCGUUAAAACCGCUCUUAAAGAUCCGAGCGCUUGGGGCGUUUCGUCAGACAGAAUGUUAAUGUUAGUGCCGGCCCGGUCUGCUUCUCUCUAGGGAUGUCCAAUGGACGGGCUGGGAAAGUGACAGUAUGCAGCUCUUAACCAUGAAGGUAUUUACUCCGCAUCAUCAUCUCCUAAGCUCCAGACACGAGGAAAUACAGCUCCAAGGUUAUUUGUAGGUGGAAGUGACACUGAGUCUUGAAAGAUUUCACAGGGGCAUUAUUUAAGCCAAAAAAGCAAGGACUUAUGACAUAACACUGAUAGAGCAGCUUCAUAGAGCAGUGCCAGCAAUCUUUGUAGAGGCAAAGUAAAAGGAAUAACUCAAGGUUGAUACGACAGAAAAAGUUACAAAAAGGUGGAUGUGAAGAAAAAAGGUUUGGGGGACUCCUGGGAAGGCUAGAAUGUACAUUUUAAUAAAUAACUGCUCACUUUGAUCGUUUUCUUUAUCUAUGGUAAAAGGAGCUAGUAAUAUUCUGUGGAGGUAAAAUCCAUCCAGUAAAUUAGAUAUGCACUUAUAAUGCGUGUCUUAAAAGAUAACUGAUUAUCCGGAAUUCAUUUUAGCCCUAUGUCCUGUAGGAAUUCCUUUAUUUUCAGAAUAGUCUAAGCAUUUAAAUUGUAGGAAUGGUUCAGGGAUGUGGACAGCAAUUAUCCUCAGCAGAAAACUGCUUUUGAUGUAGCUUCCUGACGGUUUGCCUCCCUGAAUUGGUAGGAAUGCAUGCAGUGGGAUAGAGAUCUAUCAGUGGCAGUCAUCAGACUGGCUGUUUGAGCCUGAGUUUCAUCUCACCUGAGCUUGAACACAUACUAUGUAUCUUUUCCUACUGAAUGGGUUACCCUAGGCAGCUGCUACUGCAGCCAGUGGAGAUAGUCGUUUGUCAGCCAUCAUUCAUAUGCCCUCUUUUAGACAAGUACUCAGUAUACAUGAUUUGUGUCCAGUUGCUGCACUGACUAGAUCUCUACAUCUCCAAUUAGUCAGGUUCAUUCGGCUUGGACCAUCUAUCUCUAAGGGGAGGUGGGUGGAGGGAGCCAAGAAACUGUAAACUGGUCAGUAGAACUUUGAUUCCAAAAUGGAUAGGAGAAAAAAUACACCGAUUUUCAGUUAUUAGAGGAAAGAAAGAUCACCGGUAACAGCCAACGUGUAUGAACAACACCAAGUGAAUCUCAGUCACUUUAGUAACAAGCUGGAAGUCUUGCAGUAGGCAGAUGCAGUGUGAGUUAACGAGACUACUGACACUAUCUCGCAUGACACUCUCCUAAGAGUCCAGAUGAAACUGCUGCUAAAGGUCAGAGCCAUACUCACAAGGAAGGCAGUAACAUUUCUUUAUCUAACUGGGAGGGUAUAAGAGAGGAUUCCAUGGAAGGCUGUGUUCUGUCUAAUGUCGUUCAGUGUUUUCACUGGUGACUGAGUGCAGGAAUAAUGAAUAAGCACAUUUUCAGGUGAUCCAGUACUAAGAGAAGCUGUACCUUUAUGGAUAGCCUUACUUAAUAAACUUAGAUAAUCCUGAGAAUUCCCGAAAUGCUUUGAAAAGUAGGAUGCACGUUGGUGUGGGUAAGUACAGAGCUAUACACAAGUAAGAAUAACCAAAAAUAAAAGGAGAAAAGACUGGCUUUCAGCAGUCAUGCAAAGAAAUGACCAAAGAAUGAAAGUAGAUGUCAGACACAAAUGUCAAAUUCAUGGAAAAAAAAAUCACACUAUCUACUAAAGUUUUACAGGUAAGACAUGGAAGUCUGUUCUACGCGUUUGUUGAUUAGAUACCAGCUAGGGUUUUGGAUUCCAUUUUGGGCAUUGAACUCGAGAAUAAACGAAGAGAAUCCAAGGAAAAGCAACUCAACUCAAUAUAGGAGUUGAGAAAACACGACGUGUAAAGAAAGACUUGAAAACCUCCUCGAACAAAGAGGAACAAAAGAAAAAAAAAUCACAGGUUCCAAAAUGCAAUAUAUUCUUGCAAGAAGGAAAGUGAUAAACUAUUUUCUGGAUCCUCAGGUUAUGGAAUAAGAAAUUCUCUGCUUAGCCUUUAGCAAGGAGGUCUUUGCUUGGACUUUGGGAGAACUUUCUGAAUGUGACAGUGAAGCACCAUUAGUUGAUUGUGCUGGGGGUGGGUGGGGUGAGAGGAAUGAAUUUUUGAAGUCCUUUCUAGACUUAUUUUCUUUUGUUUCUAUUUCUGUCCAGUCUUUACAAAAAUAUAUUUAGUCUUAAUAUGGGAAUUCAAUGAGAAAACUUUGUUUUGUACGAAAGUCAAAGUCUACAUGCAACCUAAUAGAACCGGAACUCUGCUUUGCUUCUCUCUCCAAGUGGCUUUAAUUCUAGAUUAGAAAAACACUAAAACAAGCAUUAUUUGAGUAAUAGAAAAGAUGACUCAUUAGUCUUUGAUAACUAGGUCGGAAUAGAAAAAAAACAACUGAAAAAUGCUGCUGCAAAUCACAAGUCUGCGUGGAACGGACUGAAGCAUUGCCACAAACAUAGUGUGUGUCCUUUGGUAAGAAAUAGGCGUUUUCAGUUAAAUUCAAGGCUGCCUGCCUCCAAGCUGUGCCUGACCUUUCUCCAUCAUUCUGUUCUGAUCACUGAAAGCUUUGCUGAGACUGAUAUAUGCCGGGGUGCCACCUGUUCAGCUCAUAGUUCAGCAGUAAAACAGAAUGCCCUUCGAAGUACUUCAAAAGGAAAAAAAAAUGACUUACCUUAUAAAACCUAAUGGAUUGAAGAGCAACAAGAAGGAAUUCCCAUCUAAAUGCAAAUCAAGACAAACCCAUUUGGAAUGCAAGAGUAAACUACAAAUGGUAAUUUUCCCACCGUUCACUAGUGCUGCUUACAAUUACAGUUCUAUACAAUCCAAGUAGUCUAACAGCUCUUCUCCUGAUGAGCUGUCAAUGAACAGUUUAGAUUUUUUCUAAAUAUAUGCCAUAGAUAUGCUUAUUCUGUAGCGAUCUGUUUGUGCAAAGUGAAUUUUAAGAACUUACUGCUUAUUUUUAGUUUAAUUUAGUCUGGUUUAUGAAGUGGAAAGAGACAAAAAUUAUCAGAAAAAAAGGGUUUCAUCUGCUGGUUACUGUAAAUUAAGCUCCCACUUGUUUUCUGCUAGAGUGUGAUAACUGAUACCAGUGGUCUACAACAGCUGAAAAGGCUGGGAUCAGCGAGGCUGAGGUUAGGAUCCCAUCCUGGAUCCCUUCUGCAUUUACAAAUGCUAACUGCAUGGUGAAGAGGAUGACUGUAGGAUGGCCGACUGAGUGCCUGCUGUGUGAUGAGAGAACAGGGUCAAUCCCAGUGCAGAGUUCUGGUCCUGGUUCUGAUGCAAAGUCCUCCUUACCUCAAAGACCUUGGAGUAAACAGAGCAGCUGUGCAGAAGUGUAGUUUCUACCAUUUACUCUAAGGAAACUCUGUUGCAGCACCAAACAAACUAGUAAGGAGGGGGAUGACUCAUACAAAAUACUGGAUUCAAGUUUUUUCUUCCUGUACCUGGAAGAAAUGCAAUAACAUUUGCUCUAGUCUCAGAAGGCUUUUGAGAUAUUAGAUGCUGUAGUCAUUCCAGUGUAGUAUGUAUAAAUGAAGAUAGUGGCAACACAGAGAUUACAAUACAUUUAGAACACAGGGACCAAAUCCCAGCAAUGCCUGGCACUAAAAAUGCUCUCAGCAUCAUUGAUUUAUCUUCUCCACUGGAUCCUGACCGGUGGCAGCUCAGCACUCUAUCUUACAGAGGCCCUAAAUAAAUUGAGAGAGAGCUGUCCUGCAGCAGGUAUGAAAGUGAUGGGGCAAGUUGUGUCUGCUCUCUAUGUAUUUCUGUUAUUGUACAGUGAGAUUAAAGAUGAUUCUGGUGGUUUCUUUUUACAACAGCUCUAACAGACUUUGCCACUCGAGCCAGAAAGGCUUUUUUCCUUCAUCCCAAUGCCAUCAGAAUAAGAAUCCAUCAGUAGUCCUAAUGAGGAGUCUGCUGGCAUGGAAUACAGAUUAACUAUGUAUUGCUUUUAUGUUUCAUAGGUAGUAACUAGCCUUCCACCGAACUGCAUUUGUAUCCUCACGCAUAACAGAACCUAUAACAUUAAUUACUUUACAGAGUUAAUUAUUACUGAUCAGCAGUCCCUGCUGGGGAUCUUUAGUAGGUUAAACGGAUAACAGAAUUGGAACAACAAUAAAAUUUAGCCUUAAAAAAAGAAAAGAGUAUAGAAGCAUGUUCAGCACUAGGGAAGAUGUUGAAAUAUAUGGUGUGCAUUUACAGCAAAUCUUCACUGCAAUUACAGCACGGAGUGUUGACAUCCUAUUACCCCGAAGACAUACAGACUGAAUGUGGAGAGUGAUUUCCCAUUUUUAGUGGAAAGCCCUACCUAAAUAUUUCUGUAUGGAACAAUCCCAGUGAGUUCUGUCACCGACUGGAUUGAGAAACAGGUCGGGUUUACGAAACUUCUUUUGAUCUAACAUCAGAAACGAAGAACCUGCCUCGUGUGAGAACACUGCCCUAUAACACUGUCGCUUUGUUUGAGAAGAAAAAUUGUUUUCCAGUGACACAAGAGUUAAGCGAUUCUAAAAACAUAAACUUCGAAGGAAGUAAACAAGCAAGUUAUAGCCUAGAUCACCAGUUAAACUCUUUAAGAGAAACAGAGACAGAAGUGGAGAGGAGGCAGCACUUGUUUGCACAACCUCUUAUCUCCGGUGGUAUUUCUGAGCCUGUCUCACUCUGCAGCUCUGAUAGAGUUUUGAGUCCGCGAUAUCAAAGAAACCUUCUCUAACUAAGCCUCUGUGGGCAACAUUAAUUCCUGUAGAAUAUAGGUGGAGGCUGACUCAGUAUUAUUAGCAUGAGAUGUUGUUAAUCAAACAGCACGACAAUUAAAAUUCCGUCCUUUUUAACACAAAUUUAAAAACAAAAAACAUUUUGUACUUGGGAGGGGCUGACUAGAGGUUGUUUAGAAGAAUACUGAUGUCCCAGCUAGUGCUACUUCUGCAAACAGGAGGAUGUCACUUAGCAGCUUAAAGUAUUCCAGAGCUCUUAAGUAUUCUUGUCUUAAAUGUUUGUUAUCAUAUAUGCUUGAAAAGAAAUGCUUUAAUUUUUUUCACACGCAUUCUUUUUGAAAUAGGACUCUAUUAUCUUGUUGGCUGAGGAGAAAUUAUUGCUGAAGAAAGUAGACCUUUCUGGUUGUGACAAAUGUACUGUUUUUUUUGGUUUAAUGAAGCUAAAUCAUUGGUAAAAAGCAGGUAAGCAUUGACUGAUUUGAAGUGGAUGGAGGAAUAAGUGUGAGCCCACAUUUACCUGACGCUUCCUUCACAGGCAUGGAGUACAGAAGGAUUAGUUGUGUUAGUUAAAGUUAAGCACUUAGUUAAGUACUGUUGCUGGAUUGAGGCCAGAGUCCUGCAUAAUGCUCCACAGAGCAGAGGCUGCUGAGGAUAACAAAUUUAAAAUAAAAUACUAAGAGGCAAAUCUGAUUUGGAUAAACAUUUACUAUACACCAUUUCACUUUCUUCAUCGUAGUGUUGUGUUUCAAAGCCUUGCUCGUGGGUAGUGGCUCCACUGUGCAAACACUUACUGUGCCAGCUUUCAGUGAUGGUAUUUUUUAAACCUAAAAUUAAAUAAUCUUUCCCUAAUAAAGCCUGAAGAUAACUGAUGCCAUACUUCAGGCUUGAGUGAGGCCUGCAAAAUUCUGGUAACCUGUUAGUAGUCUACCAUCAAAAUGGCGUUUCCAUGAUCAUCAGUUGAUCUCAAAGCCUGGCAGCAGAUAGCUGUGCCUGGACACGAGCAGGAUGGUGCAGGUGAGAGCUGCUGGGGUGGCUUACUGAAAGAUAGAGGCGGUCUUCAGCUCAGAGCUGGAUCAGCCACCAUCUUGGCAAAACUUCUAGAAAUUGACAUACACCUGGACUGAACAAAUAAUUCACUCUGCAACUUCAACGUAGAGCCCGUGGUUGACUUGUAAUCUUCAAACAGAUCAUUUUUUUGACAGAAAGCUGUUCUUCAAGUGGCGCUCAAUUUGCAUAGCUUGAGGAAACUGGCCUUCCUCUGAAUUAUUCUCAUAUCUACUGCUGAUCACUCCGGGCAAAAUUGUUGUGUACUGCUUCUCUUUUUUUGUUCUGCAUAAAAGAAAUCUGCCAUGACAGCAUCAUGCAAUGGAUAUCUUCCUUCUCUCAUGCAUGCUUUCCCUUUUGGCAGCCUAUUAACUAUAUCGUUCCAUCACUUUAGGUACAUUACAAGUGAAACCAGAUCUUCCAUGCACUGGUUCUGUGGUUUGAUACCAUCUGAAAGGGGCUGAAGUAAGGACUGUGUUGAGCAAGAAGCGUAUCAAGUGCUUCAGCUAAAUGUUUUAUGACUGCAAACAGUACCAUAAAUAGAUGUAGAAAUACUGAUAAGGCCUUUCCCUGUAUUCCAUGAACCAGAACUGAAAAAAAAAUAAAAUUUGUUCAAUGUUAAGGACCUGAGAUACACCUCCAGCUUGACACCAUGCUUACGUUACUGCAGAGUCUAUGCAAACAUGGACAAAAAAGCAUGUUGAUGGUCAGUGGGUGCUCACAGUGUGGAUAUGGUAAACACUGGGUGUCAUGCACAUAAGCUUAGAGGCAGAUUCACUGUUCAGCAGUCUGUGUGAGGAUAGUUCUGUUUUAACAUAGUGUGAUAUCUUUCAGCAAUCAAUAUCAUGACAAUGGACCAUCUAAAUUGUCAUUACCGGUAAGGUAAUGAGCAAAUCUAGCCUUUCCAAAGCCAGUGGAAUAAUUGUUGCUAACUUUAGUACAGUCAGAAUUACACUUAGAGAAUUUAAUAUAUCUACGUUAUAUAUAUAUAUGUUAUAUAUAUACACUAAAUUGUAUAUAAGGUCUCCAGAGAUGCUGCUUAUUUUCUGAAGCACAAUUAAGUAGCAGACUGGAAAUUUAGUGUCAGUUUCAAUUAAAUGGAAAAAAAAAUGAAGUUGAAUAUUAAAUUAAAUAAUGCAUUCAGUAGGUUGAGAUUAAAGUGGCUGUUUCUGCCAGAGUGGUCAUAUUUCAAAGUCAAUCAGCUUUAGGAACCAAGAGCAUCGUCAUUGGAGAUGGAGUUUUCUGAGAGCUAUGGACCUCUGUGUGAGGGACGCAACCUCUGUCUUGUGCUGGAUGUCACUGGGAGCCAGAAAGUGCUCCUAGAGCAGUGUUGGCACUGCAGAAAGGAAACUGCUGCUGGGUAAUCCCAAGAACACACUCUAACCGUGGCCAUUUGGAUGAAGUGUUGGAGUUUCAGCUGGGUUCUUAAGAUGUCCAAGUAAGGCCUGGUGGGUGAGAGACAGCAAGGGACAUUCCUGAAAGAAGGGCAGCUGAUUUGGCUUUGACAUUUCAGUGGCUGUUAUAUUCUUUUUUAGUUUGUUUGGAUGAUAUUUCGAGCUCUUGGGAAAGGCACACCAAGUUCAGAAUAGAAGCUUGGCUAUAGAUCUCUAGAACAGUAUUUAUUUAAGGUUGUUCAUCAACUUGGAUAGGCAUUUUGUUUAUCCACAUUUUUAAAGUAAUUCCAUAGGUAAUUGUGAUAGAAACCAGUAAAAAUGAGCAAAUCCAGUGCACAACAUCAAAUCUGAAGAAUAUGUGUAUGUAUACCAAUUUGUAUACAGUCUGCAGGACAGUAUGUCCUAUGGUAAUUCUUUGAAAGCUAUGUGUUCCCAAGGAUGUCUGACCCAUUUUAAACCAAGCUCUAAAAUAAGCAUAGAAAUCAGAAAAGCAGCCUACUUUGUAAUGAUCUUUUGCAUAAAUCUUGAUGUGCUCUGAAAACAUGAUAGCUUUCUGUACAUUAUUAUACAUUAUUAUUGUCUGUAAUGUAAAAGGCUGCCGCUAUAAUCUUUAAACACAACGUGCUAUCUAUAGUUAUCUUAAGCCACUUACGUCUCCUGUUCUAAGAAUAUCUGUGCUCUGAAGAACUUUUUAAUGUAUCUGUGUGACUUAAGGAAGUGUUACACUGCAAUUUUUAUAAAUGGGAAACUGAGGCACCGGGAGACCAAGGGACAUAGUGAUAAUCACGUCAGAGAUCUCUGAUGGGGCGAAUAUGUGCAGCCAGCUCCCUGAUCUCUAUGGCAUGCCCUAGCUACUGACGCUGUGUUUUUCCCUUUUUCAAACUCUUUGUUUUUUGUUACCACUCUGUAACUGAAAAGAGAAAAAAACUUGAAUUCAAAGAACUAAAACAGCAACAGCCAUGUUUGGGGCCAUGAGGAAGAGAUGGAAGAGCAAGGAAAUGACCCUUUACUUCAACAUGUGACCUCUGUAUCAGUAAAAUCUUGGGUACUGGAAGAACCCAUUUGGUGACCCGCUUGUAUGAUGUCCUUCUGUACUGCAGUGGUGCUCAGUGGCAUCUUGCUGUCCCUUUCUGAAGACAUAUUGCAGGACAGAAAGCUGCGCGCUCUGUAGAAACUACUUCUCACUGUGCUUCCUAAGAAAGCAGCUUUGGCAGCGUCCUGUCCCUGUGUGCAACACAGCUGCUGGGAUGCACUCAGGUGGUCAUUGUCAGCACGCUUAAGGGAAAGUGGCAGGAGAGGAACCUGGUGUCUUCUCUUAUAAAAUGCUCAUGCUUCUUCACUAGCUGCUUCCAUCUAUGUCAGGAGCUGGGUGCUGAGGUAGUGCACACCACGAAUGUUUGCAUGUAAAUAUGGUCCAAAUGCCCACGGCUUGAAAGGCAAACACACACCAGCAGGCAGACAGUGACCUUGCAGCUGCUGCUCUCCUUGCCACUCAGCGAUCAGCUGUUUCCCAUUGUCACCAGCAGCUUUCUUCUAUCCUGAUUCUCAUGCUCGUUCCAUCAUUUACUCUGUAUUGAAUCUCUCAUGUUUUCCCCAAUUCUUUUUCCAUCCUCUGUCUGUCCAUCAACUUUCAUCUCCACUUGUGCUAGUCAUUUGUAAGGGUUUUAAAAGCCAGUAGGAACUGUACAAAGACCCCGACCGAGCAAAGUGGCCGACGUGCACAUUGCUUUAAUGCUCUGGUACUGCUGAAUCCAUCCAGACCACCAACGUACUUAAAAUUGACCGCACUUUUAAGUGCUUUCCUGGAUCGAGGCCAUCAUCACAUUGACUUAAAACAAAACAGCACCUGAGAUUCAGCAACAUAAAUACAUAGCAACCUCAACCAAACUCAGCACUUAACCUUCAGAUUACCUUUCUUCAGUGCCUUCUGUCAUCGCUAGCUAUGUUAUGGCUACACUUAAAACCCAUUCUGCAAGUACAUACUGGACGUAGUGCUUAGGAACGAUCCUGUUUGAGCCAAUGCUUAUGGUUUUAGAAUUUGCCCGGCCUGCUUGCUAGAUCAGGCUCUUGGACAAUGAGGUCCUCAGGGCAAGAGUCAUGUUUAUUUCUCUGCUGAAAUCAUCUGUGCUCAUAUACCACAAAACAGCAAUUAGUAACCUUCUGUUCUGAGGUACAAGGAAGAAGGAUUUCUGCGUGCCACCGGCACCCCGCCUUGUGCAGCUAUGAGGUAAAAGUGUGCUAAGUAUAAGCACAGAAAGCAGAGAUGCUAACCUUGGCACUGGCAAUUAUUUGUAACCCUACCCAUGCAAAGAGGCCAAACGAGUGCCUCCGCUCCGUAAUGCUGCUGCCUCCUCACUCUGCUGACCGUGUGCCUUUCACCUGUUUUAUUGUCUGAUUAGGAAUCAGGCUCUGUGAUCCAUGUGGAUCCCUUCCACGGCAGGAGAUGUGGUAAUUCUGUGAUGCUACGCUCUGUUACUUCACCUUUCUACGCUUCAGCUUACAAGCCCCGCGUGGUAGGACUGCUGUUCUUUGUUAAUCAUAAAAUACGAUUAUUCAUACCUCGGGCAUCGCACAAAUCAUUAUUGUCUUCCUAAAAAUGUCUUCUGCAUGGCCCCGCCCUCAGUGCCCGCUAAGAAUGCUGUUGGGAACAUGCUCAAGGAAUAAAUAUUUUGCAUUCAUUUCGGGAGCACAAUGGAAACAUUUUUCCAAGCUGCUGCCAAGAUGGUAUCUGCUCCUCCUCUGAGUCAGCAGCCCAUGCAGCUGACUUUGAAAUGGCCAAACUUGGUUGAUUGUUAUCUUAAAAGAAAAAAAAACACAGACAGAAGCUGUGUUUCUGCAGAGCCGUGUUGCUCUCCUCAUGGACAGUGACACUAAAAUACGAAUGCCGCGGUGCAGGAGCUGCACAGAAGGAAGGGUUGCUUGUGAUGUCCCUCUUUGCUCUCCUAACUUCAGCAUUUUGUUUCAUCCGGACAGAGGAAGGGGUAAGGCAGUGUCGUGGGGAGAAGAGAAAGGAACAUUGCUGCUUUGUGCAGCCCGUGCCCUUUUGGUAUCAGCCAGGGAUUUACAUUCUGUAGAGCUCUGCUGGCUGUUAAAGAUGGCGUAUCUAAAAAUACAAGAUGGACGAAACCGAGCUAAGAGAGAUGGAGAUGGAUGAGGAAUUCACUGAGUUCCCUCCCAAGGAUCCCAGCCUGUGCAGCAUUUUUUCCUUCCUAUAGCUGUAUUUUCCAUCCAGCCGAAUACACGAGAAGGAAUGGUGCAACAGAGAAGUUUCAGAAGUGUGCAUGCAAAGCUCUCUUUGGGUGGAAAGACUUUGGUUUAUAUUCCUUGCUGCUCUGUGCACAAACACACGUGGUACGUCAUUGUCUUCCCGAGAUACAGUUGGUAAGAAACUGGCAGCAGCGCUCUGUUACAUUGCACCUUUACCUUAAAUCAGAAAUGAGCUAUCGGGUUGUGAUCACUAACAGAGCUCACUCCUACAAGAAGUUCCGCUCUCGUAGCAGAAUAACAGGACGCUUGUUAAAUUAACAAGUCUGAAAUGGAGAAGUAAGCUGUGACGCCAGAAUUCGGUUCAGUGGUAAAACCAGGCUGUAAAUCCUAACCCACCCCGUUACAUCAUGUCACAAAGCUGCCUGUUCCUAUAGGCGCAUGGAGUGGGUGCUUGGCUUUAGCCUUGUCGCACCACGCGUAGCGCGGGACGUAGGGUGAUAAUGGUAACUUUGCUUGCAACUUCAAACCAGUCGCUUCCUGUUCAGGAUUCUGGGGUCAUGAGUUUGGUGCCGAUGUGCGCUGUUGAAGAAACACACAGGUGCUCUGGUUUUAAUUGUCUUAGCUACUUAGAGUCUUAGAAGCACUGCCAAAGCAGCUGGGAAUUGGUGGGACUCAGCAUUUUGGCUGCUCGUCCCUUCUACCUGGCCUUUCUCCUUGGGCUCUCGGAGGAACAGGAAUCGCAGGAGUUGAUGCCGUUAAGAUAAAUUCGGCACAGAGUACGCCCAUAGAUAGCUGCGUAAAUUAGCUCUGCCAAAAAAGCCACAAGCUGACAGACAUGCAUUUCCUCAGGGCAACAAAAUUAUGCAAUAUAAAUUCUCUACAUCCUAUGAUUGAUUGCCAAGAAUCUGAACGCUGCGACCGGAAUACAAUUACAUUAGGAAACCGACAUUACAGGAGCUUCUGAAUGUAUUUUUUUUCCUCCUAAACCAACUAAGUAAUUCUAGAAUAAGCAAAUUAACCAAUCUAAAUUGUUAGCAAGAUGUCUGUUGUGUAUUUUAAAAGGGGAUAAAAAUACCAAAUGUGGUAAAAAAAAAAAUAAGACUAAUGGGGAGGAGGUAAAGGGACGGAACAGAAUAUUGGUAGAAUGGGUCUGUUCAGUUCCGAGUGAGUUUGCUGGCUCAUUUAUAUUUUACUUCCCUCUGAAUCUCACUGUGGACUUCCCAAUGAUGUGAAGUCAUUCUGCUCAGUGGGGCCACCCUGACGCUCUGUCAAAGCAGACAAAACAAAUCAGGUGGGCUCAGGACGUUUUUUCCAUGAGUAUGGUGUGUAAUUGUUAAGUAAUUAAAUUACACAUUAUCACAGAGCUGUUGAUUUACUACGUUUGCAACUAAAUACUUACGUGCCAACUGCUGGACAAGUACAUUCCAUUUCUAAAUUGAAUGCACUUUCACACAGACUGCAGCAAUUGCAUUAGGGAGAAUGUUGCAACCCAGCUGGCUUCUUGCAGCCCAGAGGAUCUACUAGAGAGCAGAAUCAUCUCCCAGGAGGAGUGCUGGUAUUAAAGCACUUAGAACUAGUCUGGACACAGCAACACUGCCAGAGCUUUCUCAUUGGUAAAUGACAGCCUUGCUGGCUCUAGGUUCCGUGAUCAGUUUACUGUGGUAUAAAUCAAAGCUGAAUCAGGGUAAUGCCUUGGCACUCAUUUACUUCCUUAAACCACAUGAAUGCUGAAAUAGAGAGCUCUUGCAGACUGGAUUCCAUUUCUCCCAGCCUGUGUUUUUUUUUUUUUUCUUUUUUUUUUUUUUCUUAAGACUAAAUCAGAAUCAAAGAGCAUUUUCAGUUCUCUUCAUCAGAUUUAAAUCUCUUUAAUCAGCCACCCUGAUCGUGGUGCUCUGAUAGGUGCCAUGGCUUUUUGGAGAGAGCCAGACGGGAGGACCUGCUGCACAUAUCCUGGUUCCCAGGCUGGCUGCCAGCAGCAGGGUGUGAUGUAAGAGUCUUUCACGCCGAACAAGUUAACAGCCCUGUUUUUGAGUUUACUACAUUCUGGCUGAGAAACAGCAUGAAUAGCCUCGCAGGGAAAUGCUGCUGCUGAGCAAGCAGGUGGCUGCAGAAACCAUUUUCUAGUUCCCUCCGUGUGUCUGCCACUGGCAGGGAGAGGCCCGGUUGCAGACUGUACUUCUCCUCUUCCAUGAGCUGAGCAGCGGUGUCUGUGUAAAAUGGAUGCUGACUGUGUCUUCCAGCUUCUCCUGCGUCCUGCAUGUGUGGCUUGAAGAGGAGGUGCUGACACAAGCUUGGUGUAGGUCUCAGACUGUCUUCUGCCUGAGACGGUCUCUUUUUAAGAAAAUUCUGGGAAAGUAUUAGGCUUGGAAGUUGGUUAGAGAGCAGUGGUUCAAGGUAUGGAAGGGGCUGUCUGUGAGUAUGUUCUGCCUUUGUCCCUUCUGAGCAGAGGGAGCCCAGCUCAUGUUUUUCACCAAAGGAGAGCUCUGUCUGGAGCUGGCAUCUCACUCUGGCCAUGACUCUUCUCAUGCAGAGAAAGAGGAAACUCAUAAAGGCCAGGAAAUGAUGUACCACAAAAAUGCAUGUGUUUGCAGGAGACAGAAUACUGCUAUUCUCAUGGUGCCUUAGGUGUCAAUGGAAGACAAAAGGACAAAAUGAGAAGGAUGCAACCACACUGAGCUCAACACGCUGCGUUCAUCUUCAAAACUGGGCAAAGCGGAAACAGGGAAAACGAGUUGAUUACUGAACUUGCAACCUCUCUGCAUUCCUUUCAUGGUUAGUAAUGCCGCAUUAGAGGGGAGUUAUCAUUCACCACUUAACUGCCUGAAGGUUACACAGUCCAAACAACACAAGGCCAAAGUACGGAGCCAUGAACUGUACAGCAAAAAAUCGAGUCGCUCCUUCCCUAUUUCAUGUGGGGCACGCUAAUCUGUUGGCGUAGCUUUGAUCUCUUAUCAGCUGAUUUCUCAUUCUGACCUCCUAACUCCGCCACCAGGAACACCUCUGCAGCCAGGGGGACGCCUGCGAGUGCUGCUGCCGUGGGCCAUCCCAGCCUGGCACGUCUGCUUUGGGCACCCAGCAGAAACGCAGCAUCCGGAGUCCCUCUGGUGCAGAGUGCUGACCAACCCACUGAAGAACUGAUUUAUCCUCUCUGAGAUACAGAGACAACCAACAUAAGCGGCUCAGAUAGGUUUCUAAAGUUAGGCGGGGUAAAUCCAGGCCUGAGUGAUUAUGGCAGACAUCCAUUUAGCAUGGGGUCAGCUGCUGAGGUCCGUGCACUGCGGUGAGAUGCUCCCUGUAGAAGCAGCGUCUCCCUCAGUCAGGGACUGUCUCCCACUUUUUAUUCCCAUCACCAGAAUAAAAGGGUUGAAAAUCACAGCAAGAUACACGCUAAGUGCUACCAAAACACACAAGUGCUGAUUACAUCGGCUGGGAAGCAAAUAUCUUUAUUCUUCUCUAUUUUUGAGGACAUUCAGCCAUUCAGUGCCGCAGCCUCAGACGUAUAAAAAGCAAGCACACCAUCAGCUUCAAAGGCAAGUGGCUGUAAAAAUGGGCUAAAAUGAGUUCCAAGUCCUGGUGCUACACGUUCCUGUACUCAUCCACUAUUCUGUUUGCUGGGUUUUUUUUUUUCCAGCCAUACUUCCAGCUCUGGCUCCACGAGUUCCUCUUUGCUAUUGCAGCGUAUACCACAAUCGUGAAUCAUUUAUAAUAGUUUUAGGAUCGCACGCAUUAUCAUCACUAAUUAAACAAUGUAAUGAGAUUUAAGUUGACAGAGCCCUUGUAGAUAAGAGUCAACCUCUCGUUUCAAUUGUCAGCAUAAAAGCUUCUCUGUCAUUAAACUGAACAUCUAACAGAGUGUCCACUGUGAAGCCAUUCACCCUAUAAUUUAUAAUGCUUUUAAGAUUUUUGGAAUCCUUAUGCCAAGAAACAGCGAUCUAAGUAAACAAGAAGUGAGCCUUGCUUUUUACAGAUCUGUUUACAUCUUCACUGUGAAAACAAGUAUUUAACCCAUGACUCAGAAUAACUGAAGUGUCUGAAAUGCAGUAUUCAGGGUGCUGUCACAAUUUGUAAGGGAACACGAAGGGAAAUAACUUAGAGGGACUGAAAGAUGCAACAGUCCCGGGUGAACCCCAUUGGGUUCAGCUUCAUGGCCUCCUGCAGGCGCUGAGCCCUUCCCUCCCAGCAGCUCCCCCUGUGCAAAGAGGCCUCUGUGGCCUCUGUUGAGAAUUAAACACGUGGGGCUCUGUUCCUUACUGACCUGUGGUUGCUGAUGUUGCUCCCACGUGAAACGAAAACCUAACGGUUCACCGCAGCCCUGCGCACUCACUCUUAUAAAUGAGAUAGAUAUAAAUGAGUGCAGAGGAUACGAAACAAAGAGAAGCAGGUGUUGUACAUCCUAUGUAACUUAUAUAUGUUUUUCUGCCUCUGUUGAAUGGGAGAUAAUUGAGUUCUAUAUAUUGAGUUUCCAUCCGGACUCUCUUGUACAGACACAGAACCACAACAGCUGAUAAAUACUUGCCAAGAAUUCUGUUUCUUUAUUGUCCCAAGCAGCAAAGAAUUAAAAACAAAUAAAAAAUAAAAAAUCUGCCUUUCAGUCACUGUUCUAGCAGAUACAAGAGACUCCUGGGUAGCGGCUGAGCAGAAACCACAUUCACACGCCAAGGAUAUGACCAACAGACUGAAGCCUACCACAAACAUCUCCGUGUCCUGCAAGCCCUUGAAUUUCAUAACUUGUGUAUCCCACGACUGCUCCUUACAUGGAAAGGCAGUGAGUAGUCUGGAGAAAGGCUACUGCUGGAGUUCCUAACUAUGAGUGUAGGAUUGAUAUUAUUCAGUAUUUUUAAUUCUUUACUUCUGCAUAGCAGCAGAACAGUAAGGUCUUUAUUUUGCAAGGAGCCUGGCUUCCUUAGUCUAAAACAACAAAGUUGGCUUUGGAUACAACAGGAUGUGAUGAGCAGUGAAAAUGUCUACUAUGUAUAGUAGCAAAUGAUCACAAACUACCCAUGAAAAAGGCAGGCUGAAAAUCAGAGACUUCCAGACCAAUGAGAAGGGCUCCCCAAACCAGGGCACGUGUUUUACUGGGAGUCUGUGAAGCCCUUGCAGGUGGUAUGUGCACCAGCACCCAGACACAUGCGGUAUAAUGGCUGCGGCCCCUCCUGUGGACGUGCUGGACACGAAGGAGGAAGUGUGGGACUGCUGGCUUAGCGUACCCAGAAGGCAGAGGAGCUCAGAAGAGGAGAACAGUGGUCACUGUGAGGCUGAGGCUGGCCAGAGGAGAGAAGGGGUGGCAAAGACAUGCAGUGCAGAUGUUACAGUGGAGAAUAUCAGAAGUUGGAAUUCAUGUUUUCCUGGAAUUGCUGAGUUUAUGCAUUCCCAGGAGCUAAAGAAACCACUCGUACAAAGACACUGCUACUACCUGGAGUCUGCUUAAAUACCCGGGUACCUCUGCCCUUCUUUACUGUGAGCUGGGGCGGACAGCAUGACAGCAACCACUGCCAUUAGACUGCAGUUGUCCCAGUGAUCUCAGACUCCUGAGGCAGCAGGAACUCAAAACCCUGCAGCUCACGCUGUGAAUUUCUUUUUGAUCUGCUCUCCUUGCCUGCUAGCCUUCUCAUCUGCUCCUUUCAAGGGAGAUAAAAGACGAUCCUAAAUCAAACUGUAUCUUUCUCUAAAGUGGCAUCUCAGCACUGCGUGCAGGACUCUGUAGCCACUGCAAAGCUCGUUUGAGCACAAUACAAAAAUGGGUUGCUAUUUCGUUAAAUCACAAGAGGAGCUCCCACCUCUGGAUUCCUAAUGCCUUACCGGCUGAACUCUGAGAGCUGAGACAAGUCUGAGGUAUAGGGCACACGAAAUUGUUCUCACUCCAUUCCACAGGAUGGACGCACCAGCUCUAGCUUGUGGUACAAUAAACAAUUUUACACACACCACUGCACAAUUCCCGGUGGAAAAGUGGACACAAG
Numida meleagris (helmeted guineafowl) is the source of this 16536-nucleotide long non-coding RNA. RefSeq lists it as uncharacterized. Lineage: Eukaryota; Metazoa; Chordata; Aves; Galliformes; Numididae. The transcript is spliced from 3 exons. The record is from RefSeq and is a predicted model, not a curated record.